This is a non-coding RNA of Procambarus clarkii (red swamp crayfish), 260 nucleotides long. NCBI's taxonomy places the organism in Eukaryota, Metazoa, Arthropoda, Malacostraca, Decapoda, Cambaridae. The record is from RefSeq and is a predicted model, not a curated record.
UGGUGGCUGCCAGCAACAGCGAGUUGGAACGUCUGGAAGUGCUGUUGGAGAAGCUAAGGACGCUCUACUCCUGGAACCCUCUUGUCUCAGUCCCUCCAGUCCACUUCCUUGGUUCGGACGAGGUGCUGAGCAUUGUGGAUACAACUGAGGAAGUAUUCACCCUUUUAAGUCGCCUUGUACAGAUCAGGCAAGGACGUGACGAUGCCGGGGGAACCGCUGACAAUGGAGAUGCUGUCCACUCCAACACGGUCUUGCAGGUG